Long non-coding RNA from Homo sapiens (human), 1460 nucleotides. Lineage: Eukaryota; Metazoa; Chordata; Mammalia; Primates; Hominidae. The record is from Ensembl.
ACAGUGGUUAUACAAGUGAGUCCUGUUCAGCGUGGGAGGAAAUAACACAAGAGGCAAAGAUCACUCGGGACCACCUUGUAUAUUGGCUACCACAGAACCCAACACAAGCAGUAAGUUAAAAUCAUGAAGCUCCUGACGUCAGAGGACAUGGCUCUGCCAUUUGUUAGGUAGGGAUCCUGUUAAAGGCUCAGCUUCCUCAUCUGGAAAUGGAAAUAUAGGCCUUGCCUGGUUUGCUGUAAUGGGUCGUGAUGAGGACCAAACUACAAAGAGUGGUACAGAUGUUAAUUACAAUGAUUUUUCCUAUGCCACCCAUGGAAACAAAAAUAGCAAGAUAGAGAAGGCUAAAUCCCAGUUUUUUUUGACUGCUAUUCAGCAAAGCCUAGGAGACUUUCAUGACACCUGGAGAGGCGGCCGUAGUGUAUGUGUAAGAGUACCGGUUCCAGAGUGGGGCUCCCCGAGCUCAGCCCCACCACUUACCAACAGCGGACCUUGGGCCAGAUGCUGAAGCCCUUUGUGCCUUGGUUUCCUGACCUAUUACUGUGGAAAUGAUGACAGUACCCUCCUCAUGGCAUCGUGAGAAUUAAAUUAGCUAAUUCAGGUGAAGCAUUUAGAAGAGGACCUCCUGACACUUAAUAACUGCUUGAUAUAAAUAAUAGCUUCUGCUACAGAGUGGCCAUGAAGUCUGGACAUGUAGAUAUUAUAUUAUCAUGCAUCAUAAGUUCAGUUCUAUGUCAACAUUCCAAGAAAAUCCAGACUGAGCCUCCUCCUCACCAGUGCUCCUGUCUAGUCCUGGAGGCAGGGGACCUGCUCUGGAAUCUCAGCUCAUGCAGCAAGUACCCGGAUGACUUUAGGCAAAUCAUGUCACCUCGCUAGAUCUCCCUCUCUUCCUCUGGUACAUGGGGCAUCCAUACCUGCCUCACCAGGUGCAGAGUCAAUGUGACUUGAGGGCGAGAAUGAGUUCACAUCUCCUGGCUGCUCCUCUAGCUCCCCUAAUGGUACACAGCCAAUGGUCACAGGCCUCAUUUCACAGAAGGAAGCACAGAUGGGCUGUGACAUUCCAAGGAAACAGCUUAAAUGACGGGAAGAAAUGGAAAUGGGAAUAGUUAAUUUCCCAACCCAGACCUCUAGGUCAGCCCAGGGACCCCAGGGACUGGGGAAGUUUUAAAAAAUGCCUCUUCUUGUUCCUCAAAGCCUAACAUGGUUUAAUUUUGCAAAUACACCUAGGGCCUGGGUCUGAAGAGUAACACAAGCAAUAGCUCUGCCUAAAACCUAUCUUGGAUUUUGUACAAGAAAGUUGUGAAGAAGUAAGAGUGACUGGUGUUAAAUGAUCAUCUCAUAGGAAUUACUACAGAAUUUGACCAUCAGCCUGGGCUCCUUUUUGUGCUUCCUGGGACCAUCUAAAUUAGUAGUUACAACGUUAAGUUACAAUGCUAAAUUGGAAAAAUAAAAGGAGUUUUCAG